GACGAACGCUGGCGGCGUGCCUAAUACAUGCAAGUAGAACGCUGAAGGAGGAGCUUGCUUCUCCGGAUGAGUUGCGAACGGGUGAGUAACGCGUAGGUAACCUGCCUGGUAGCGGGGGAUAACUAUUGGAAACGAUAGCUAAUACCGCAUAACAGUAGAUGUUGCAUGACAUUUGCUUAAAAGGUGCAAUUGCAUCACUACCAGAUGGACCUGCGUUGUAUUAGCUAGUUGGUGAGGUAACGGCUCACCAAGGCGACGAUACAUAGCCGACCUGAGAGGGUGAUCGGCCACACUGGGACUGAGACACGGCCCAGACUCCUACGGGAGGCAGCAGUAGGGAAUCUUCGGCAAUGGACGGAAGUCUGACCGAGCAACGCCGCGUGAGUGAAGAAGGUUGUCGGAUCGUAAAGCUCGGUUGUAAGAGAAGAACGAGUGUGAGAGUGGAAAGUUCACACUGUGACGGUAUCUUACCAGAAAGGGACGGCUAACUACGUG
Molecule: ribosomal RNA, 495 nt
Filed under: uncultured bacterium
Lineage: Bacteria
Description: partial 16S ribosomal RNA
Rfam family: Bacterial small subunit ribosomal RNA
Source: RNAcentral